RNAcentral lists this ribosomal RNA (497 nucleotides) under uncultured bacterium. RNAcentral's name for it is "partial 16S ribosomal RNA". It matches the Rfam family "Bacterial small subunit ribosomal RNA", at positions 28 to 507 of the family's 1533-position model. The record is from RNAcentral.
GAUGAACGCUGGCGGCGUGCCUAAUACAUGCAAGUCGAGCGAACAGACGAGGAGCUUGCUCCUCUGACGUUAGCGGCGGACGGGUGAGUAACACGUGGAUAACCUACCUAUAAGACUGGGAUAACUUCGGGAAACCGGAGCUAAUACCGGAUAAUAUAUUGAACCGCAUGGUUCAAUAGUGAAAGACGGUUUUGCUGUCACUUAUAGAUGGAUCCGCGCCGCAUUAGCUAGUUGGUAAGGUAACGGCUUACCAAGGCAACGAUGCGUAGCCGACCUGAGAGGGUGAUCGGCCACACUGGAACUGAGACACGGUCCAGACUCCUACGGGAGGCAGCAGUAGGGAAUCUUCCGCAAUGGGCGAAAGCUUGACGGAGCAACGCCGCGUGAGUGAUGAAGGACUUCGGAUCGUAAAACUCUGAUAUUAGGGAAGAACAAAUGUGUAAGUAACUAUGCACGUCUUGACGGUACCUAAUCAGAAAGCCACGGCUAACUACGUG